Helicoverpa zea (corn earworm) is the source of this 664-nucleotide long non-coding RNA. RefSeq lists it as uncharacterized. The record is from RefSeq and is a predicted model, not a curated record. The transcript is spliced from 2 exons. Lineage: Eukaryota; Metazoa; Arthropoda; Insecta; Lepidoptera; Noctuidae.
ACAGACACAGUCUAUUAUUAUUCAGUUAUCAAGUAGAGCAGUCGUCUCGCAAUACAAAAUGAAACGCAUAAUAAUAUUAUCGGCCUGGGCAGUAUUGUUAUACAUUUUAUUCAUCAAUAUGGUGAACGGGCAGGAUUUAAUGUCAUCAAAAAGGAUGAUGAAACUUUAUCACUUAAACCGUACCCGGAUUAAUACUUAUUAGAGCACGGAGUCACAAGCGAUUCAUACUUUCAUCAUCAUCAUAUCAGUUUAUCACAUUAAUUAUUUUUCACGUCAGCACGGCAUUCAAACUUGGCUGCAAAACAGCACUUUUCGAACGUCAGAAAUUUACAAAAGACAACUCCCAAAACGCCCACCCUUCACCACUUCCUAUGUGUUUUUGCUGGGAAGAAGAAGUAGCGCAACAAACUCCUCUUUUGUAGUGAUCGAUAUUAUUAGUCUUUAUCUUUAUAUUAGCUUUCGCCCGCAUGGUGUGUUGACCGGGAUAAAAAGCCUGUAUGUUAAACCAUGGAAUCACCUACCUAUAUAUAAAAUUUCAACUAAUUAGGUCCAGCCGUUUUUGCGUGAAAGAAUAAUAAAAAUACAUCCAUACAUUAUCAAAAACUCACAUUCGAUAAGUUUAUAACGAUAUAUUUUCAUAUCUUAAAAUAAAACAAGAUAGAAA